Lactonifactor longoviformis DSM 17459 is the source of this 123-nucleotide ribosomal RNA. It matches the Rfam family "Bacterial large subunit ribosomal RNA", at positions 2804 to 2925 of the family's 2925-position model. NCBI's taxonomy places the organism in Bacteria, Bacillati, Bacillota, Clostridia, Eubacteriales, Clostridiaceae. The record is from Rfam.
AUGAGAUAUCCCAUUCUUUAGAAGAAGUAAGACCCCUUGAAGACGACGAGGUAGAUAGGGCAGAGGUGGAAGUGCAGCAAUGCAUGGAGCUGACUGUUACUAAUCGGUCGAGGGCUUGACCUG